AUGAACGCUGGCGGCGUGCCUAAUACAUGCAAGUCGAGCGAACGGACGAGAAGCUUGCUUCUCUGAUGUUAGCGGCGGACGGGUGAGUAACACGUGGAUAACCUACCUAUAAGACUGGGAUAACUUCGGGAAACCGUAGCUAAUACCGGAUAAUAUUUUGAACCGCAUGGUUCAAAAGUGAAAGACGGUCUUGCUGUCACUUAUAGAUGGAUCCGCGCUGCAUUAGCUAGUUGGUAAGGUAACGGCUUACCAAGGCAACGAUGCAUAGCCGACCUGAGAGGGUGAUCGGCCACACUGGAACUGAGACACGGUCCAGACUCCUACGGGAGGCAGCAGUAGGGAAUCUUCCGCAAUGGGCGAAAGCCUGACGGAGCAACUCCGCGUGAGUGAUGAAGGUCUUCGGAUCGUAAAACUCUGUUAUUAGGGAAGAACAUAUGUGUAAGUAACUGUGCACAUCUUGACGGUACCUAAUCAGAAAGCCACGGCUAACUACGUG
This 496-nucleotide ribosomal RNA is filed under the name uncultured bacterium. Its description in RNAcentral is "partial 16S ribosomal RNA". It matches the Rfam family "Bacterial small subunit ribosomal RNA", at positions 29 to 507 of the family's 1533-position model. The record is from RNAcentral.